UACGAAGGGGGCUAGCGUUGUCCGGAAUCAUUGGGCGUAAAGCGCGUGUAGGCGGUCCGGUAAGUCCGCUGUGAAAGUCGGGGGCUCAACCCUCGGAUGCCGGUGGAUACUGUCGGGCUUGAGUACGGAAGAGGCGAGUGGAAUUCCUGGUGUAGCGGUGAAAUGCGCAGAUAUCAGGAGGAACACCAAUUGCGAAGGCAGCUCGCUGGGACGUUACUGACGCUGAGAAGCGAAAGCAUGGGGAGCGAACAGG
RNAcentral lists this ribosomal RNA (253 nucleotides) under uncultured bacterium. RNAcentral's name for it is "partial 16S ribosomal RNA". It matches the Rfam family "Bacterial small subunit ribosomal RNA", at positions 524 to 776 of the family's 1533-position model. The record is from RNAcentral.